Molecule: ribosomal RNA, 429 nt
Filed under: uncultured bacterium
Lineage: Bacteria
Description: bacterial SSU rRNA
Rfam family: Bacterial small subunit ribosomal RNA
Source: RNAcentral
UAGGGAAUCUUGGACAAUGGGCGCAAGCCUGAUCCAGCCAUGCCGCGUGGGCGAGGAAGGUCUUCGGAUCGUAAAGCCCUUUUCUCGGGGAAGAACCGCCUCUGGAGGAAAUGCCAGGGGUCUGACGGUACCCGAGGAAUAAGCAACGGCUAACUCCGUGCCAGCAGCCGCGGUAAUACGGAGGUUGCAAGCGUUGUUCGGAAUGACUGGGCGUAAAGGGAGCGCAGGCGGCUUGUUAAGUCUGGAGUGAAAGCCCGGGGCUCAACCCCGGCGGGUCUUCGGAUACUGGCAAGCUAGAGUACGGAAGAGGAAAGCGGAAUUCCAGGUGUAGCGGUGAAAUGCGUAGAUAUCUGGAGGAACACCGGUGGCGAAAGCGGCUUUCUGGUCCGAUACUGACGCUCAUGCUCGAAAGCGUGGGGAGCAAACGGG